UGGGAAUUUUGGACAAUUGGGCGAAAGCCUGAUCCAGCAAUGCCGCGUGUGUGAAGAAGGCCUUCGGGUUGUAAAGCACUUUUGUCCGGAAAGAAAUCCUUGGCUCUAAUACAGUCGGGGGAUGACGGUACCGGAAGAAUAAGCACCGGCUAACUACGUGCCAGCAGCCGCGGUAAUACGUAGGGUGCAAGCGUUAAUCGGAAUUACUGGGCGUAAAGCGUGCGCAGGCGGUUUGCUAAGACCGAUGUGAAAUCCCCGGGCUCAACCUGGGAACUGCAUUGGUGACUGGCAGGCUAGAGUAUGGCAGAGGGGGGUAGAAUUCCACGUGUAGCAGUGAAAUGCGUAGAGAUGUGGAGGAAUACCGAUGGCGAAGGCAGCCCCCUGGGACAAUACUGACGCUCAUGCACGAAAGCGUGGGGAGCAAACAGGAUUAGAUACCCUGGUAGUCCACGCCCUAAANGAUGUCAACUAGUUGUUGGGGAUUCAUUUCCUUAGUAACGUAGCUAACGCGUGAAGUUGACCGCCUGGGGAGUACGGUCGCAAGAUUAAAACUCAAAUGAAUUNACGGGGUCAUAGCUG
Molecule: ribosomal RNA, 579 nt
Filed under: uncultured bacterium
Lineage: Bacteria
Description: partial 16S ribosomal RNA
Rfam family: Bacterial small subunit ribosomal RNA
Source: RNAcentral